UUGCUUCAGCAGCACAUAUACUAAAAUUGGAAUGAUACAGAAAGUUUAGCAUGGUCCCUGCACAAGGAUGAUACACAGAACUCUUCAGGGUCUUAACUUUAAA
Molecule: small nuclear RNA, 103 nt
Organism: Hyaena hyaena (striped hyena)
Lineage: Eukaryota; Metazoa; Chordata; Mammalia; Carnivora; Hyaenidae
Source: RefSeq, a predicted model, not a curated record